UACGAAGGGGGCUAGCGUUGCUCGGAAUCACUGGGCGUAAAGCGCACGUGGGCGGAUUGUUAAGUCAGGGGUGAAAUCCUGGAGCUCAACUCCAGAACUGCCUUUGAUACUGGCGAUCUCGAGUCCGGGAGAGGUGAGUGGAACUGCGAGUGUAGAGGUGAAAUUCGUAGAUAUUCGCAAGAACACCAGUGGCGAAGGCGGCUCACUGGCCCGGUACUGACGCUGAGGUGCGAAAGCGUGGGGAGCAAACAGG
RNAcentral lists this ribosomal RNA (253 nucleotides) under uncultured bacterium. RNAcentral describes it as "partial 16S ribosomal RNA". It matches the Rfam family "Bacterial small subunit ribosomal RNA", at positions 524 to 776 of the family's 1533-position model. The record is from RNAcentral.